GCAGGGAAUAUUGCGCAAUGGGCGAAAGCCUGACGCAGCGACACCGCGUGGGGGAAGAAGGCUCUAGGGUUGUAAACCCCUUUUCUCGGGGAAGAGGAAGGACGGUACCCGAGGAAUAAGGUUCGGCUAACUACGUGCCAGCAGCCGCGGUAAUACGUAGGAACCGAGCGUUGUCCGAAUUUACUGGGCGUAAAGGGCGAGUAGGCGGCUUGCCAAGUCUCAUGUGAAAUCUCCCGGCUCAACUGGGAGGGGUCAUGGGAAACUGGCAGACUUGAGGGCAGCAGAGGAAAGUGGAAUUCCCGGAGUAGUGGUGGAAUGCGUAGAUACCGGGAGGAACACCAGUGGCGAAGGCGGCUUUCUGGGCUGUACCUGACGCUGAGGCGCGAAAGCGUGGGGAGCAAACCGG
This 406-nucleotide ribosomal RNA is filed under the name uncultured bacterium. RNAcentral's name for it is "bacterial SSU rRNA". It matches the Rfam family "Bacterial small subunit ribosomal RNA", at positions 354 to 776 of the family's 1533-position model. The record is from RNAcentral.